AGGCACGUAGCUCAGUUGGUUAGAGCACCACCUUGACAUGGUGGGGGUCGUUGGUUCGAGYCCAAUCGCGCCUACCA
This 77-nucleotide transfer RNA is filed under the name Pseudomonas fragi. RNAcentral's name for it is "tRNA-Val". It matches the Rfam family "tRNA". Rfam says of the family: Transfer RNA (tRNA) molecules are approximately 80 nucleotides in length. Their secondary structure includes four short double-helical elements and three loops (D, anti-codon, and T loops). The record is from RNAcentral. Lineage: Bacteria; Pseudomonadati; Pseudomonadota; Gammaproteobacteria; Pseudomonadales; Pseudomonadaceae.